Molecule: non-coding RNA, 21 nt
Filed under: Arabidopsis thaliana (thale cress)
Lineage: Eukaryota; Viridiplantae; Streptophyta; Magnoliopsida; Brassicales; Brassicaceae
Source: RNAcentral
UUGAAACUGGAAUGCCGAAGA